This 1067-nucleotide long non-coding RNA is filed under the name Equus caballus (horse). Its description in RNAcentral is "lncRNA (ENSECAG00000036987.2)". The record is from RNAcentral. Lineage: Eukaryota; Metazoa; Chordata; Mammalia; Perissodactyla; Equidae.
UGCCUCUGCUUUCCAGACCUGUGGCUCAGGCAGGAGACAUGGAUGAAAUGGAAGGGGCCAGGUAUGGCAGGAGGCCUGGCCAGGGGCACCCAGGAAGUUAAGAGCUCUCCUCUGGGGAAGACCUAGGGGUUGACUCCAUGGGAAACUGGACAAGAUCGCCAUCCCUCUGAAAGCUUGGCAAAGAAGGGAAUCCUGGAGACGCAGAGGGCUCUCACAGCAGAGAAGGGAUCCCCAGGUGGAGCCAGGGUGCCAACGGCUCCAGGCGCAAGUCGGGGAGAAACCCUAAGGACCACCCCCACCCCCAGGGAGUCGCCACCAAGAAAAGGGACACGGAGAAGAGAAGGACAGGAGGAUCCUGCCCUGAUCGCCAGAGAGGACCGCUUGCCGCAGAUGCGGCCAGGACAGGCGGGAGGCCGGGCCCGCCUCCCUAAAGCGCCGUCGGCAGAGCCACUGGCGGGGCCCUGGCGGGGCUCCAGUCCCGGCUCUUCAACCACGUGGGCACGCUGGACCUGGCCCUGGGCGAGCUGCGGGCUCCGGGGGAGCGCCUUCCUGCCACUGCCCGCCCGCGGCCCGCAGCCCGCGGCCUCGCAGCGCGCCUGGCUCGCCUGGCAGCUGGCGCAGGCGGGGGCGACCCUGCACCAGGCAGGCCCGGCGCUCGACAGUCUGCUCGCAGCCCUCCCUGCUGGAGCCUCCGCGGCCAUAGGGGCCGCGCCCCCAGCCUGAGCUCUCGUCCUGGCCCUUCCCGGGGCCACUCACGUCUGUCCCGGAGCCCGUCCAGACUCUGCCCUCUUGACUCCCCGAGCAAGAGUCCGUGGCAGCAGUUCGCACACCCAGGCGACGAGCUCCCUCCCACCGCGCGACACUAUCCACCUGUCCGGGAAACGGUCUUGGGCAUGGACCGGACCUCCCUUCCUACAGGAUCUCUCUUCAGGCAAAGGGCUCCUCCUUUCCAGAAGACAGCCCCGUGAAGAUGAGCGCUCAGAGCAAAUCCCUUCUUUUUCUCCAGGGGCUCUGAUGACCAACACUCUCACCGAUUUGGACUUUUUCACCAUUGCUUGUUUCCCUGC